Long non-coding RNA from Bubalus bubalis (water buffalo), 6692 nucleotides. RefSeq lists it as uncharacterized. The transcript is spliced from 3 exons. Lineage: Eukaryota; Metazoa; Chordata; Mammalia; Artiodactyla; Bovidae. The record is from RefSeq and is a predicted model, not a curated record.
CCUUCUCCAGGAAAUGUUCCUGACCCAAGGAUCGAACCUGGGUUUCCCACAUUGCAGGCAAAUUCUUUACUGCCUGAGCCACCAGGGAAGCCCAUGAAAUCACCUUCAGGGCUUUUUGAAUUCUUAAGCGUUUUUUUCCAGGAGGGGAAAUGAGACUCCCAGGGGCUCCCUCUUAGGGUUUCCGGGUUCGGGCCCCCGGUCACUCCACAUAGACUGAACUGUUGCUUAAAUAAAAUCCUUGCAGCAAGUAGCGCAAGUAUCUCCAGCUGUGCUUACACGAUGCAAUCUCCUGAGGUUCCAUCCCAGCCCUAUUACAUAGAAACUUCUGGACUUCUGGGAGUGGAGCCCAGGCAAUAGCUCUGUUUCGAAGUCCCUCAGAUGACUCACAUGUGCUGCCACGGUCAAGAAUCAUGGAAGGGGUUGGGAGGCUUCAUGAACUGCAGCCCUGUGGACUCAGUUGCAAAGUAACAAGACGGAGGAGGUGAAGUGAUGUGUUCCCUGGAGGCCACAGUUAGAUGGAGGCAGACCAGGUCUGGGACUUGGGCCUCUGAAGCCCUGGUCCGAGGCAGGCAGCUUCCUAAGUGUUCUGCUGCACGUGUGUAUGGGCUGAUUAUAUCCACACAGCAGCUGUGAAACCGAAGAGCAUGCCUGUUCUAGCAAACCUUUUAGCUGUACAGAGAAGAGACGUCAUGGUGGUGUUUUCUCUACACCCUGAUGCUGUAGCUGAGUUGGAUGGCACCAGAGACUGGGAAGGAGUCAUGACAUGCAGAGAUGCUGGGAGAAGGUACAGGGAGGAGGGAGAGAGCCCUACAGGGUGGGGGCUGGACCCCUCAGGUUGGGAGUGAGACCCCUUCUGCCAGCCUUUCUCUUCCUGCUGCUGCAGCUGUGAGAUGUUCUUCAGGCUCCCUGUUCAUAACUGCACUAACAGGAACUCAGCUGUAUCAUUUCUUUUCUGACCACACUGUGCAGCAUGCAGGAUCUUAGCUCCCUAAACCAGGGAUGGAACCUGUGCCCCUGCAUUGUGAGUGUGGAGUCUUAACCUCUAAACCCCAGGUAAGUCCUUCAGUUGUAUCAUCCUAGGUGUACAAUGUGCUUUCAGAAAUACCCUUCUGCUCCUCAGAGUAGGGCUGUGAGUAGAGGGAGCAGGAGGCCUUAUUUCCAUUUCACAGACAGACAACAAAUGCUGAGGAACUUCACAGCCCUCACUCCAGGCCAGAGCAGCUCACAGCCCAACCCUACCCCUCCUCUGGUAUUUUCUGGAAGUUUCCAAGGAGGAUUUUGUGUGAGCCCAUAAACCAGUCUGUUGGUUUCAGUCUUCAAGCAUCUGUGUGGUUCCUGGGCAGGUGGUCUUCGCCUCCUGAGCUCAGGGAAAGCCCUGGACCCCCCACCCACUGUCAGUGUCAAUACUGAGGGCUCCUUUCUGGAGGGUGCCAGAGGACUGCCCCAUCCCACCCCCAACGCCAUGCUGCUCUUGGCUGCCCCAGCCUCAGAGGUCUGUUGGGCCCCAAGUCUCAAAUGUGUCCUAAACAUUCCCGCAGCUUCUUCUGACCCACUCUCACCAUCCAGUCUUAGCCUUUUGAGUGUUCUAUCGACCCCAACCUCCUGUCUGCUCAGUGCCCACCUUGACCUAUGCAGCUGUGUGACCGGAUCACAUGUAGUAAAUCCCAUUUUGCCAUUAAGUCUGGGGCAGGGGUGUGUCGGCAGGGCCAGGGUGUGGCCUGGAGGGGCCAUGUGUCCCAGGUGAAAACCCUGGGCCCUCUGCAAGCCUCCACCUCUGAACCCGCACAAGGCUCUUCCCGAGCCCGCCCUCCUGGAGAUGGCAGCCUUUGAAGCACACCGCCUGGAUUAUUUAAUAUAAUGGAACAGUGCAACUCGACCCAUCAGAGACAUAAAUGCCCAGGUGUUUUAAAUUUGUUUUCCCGUCAGAAUGGUAAACGGCAGGUAGUAAAAUUCGGCCCCGGGUCGUGGCUGUGGGUGCUCCCCGCUCUCUCUCGGGUGGGCUGGCAGCCGCAUAGCAGCCCCGCUUCUCCAGGACUAGCCCGGGGCCAGGACUCCCCUGGAUGUGGCUUUUCCAAUGCUGGAGAGUGAUUCUACAUCAGGACUGGCCGAGGAUCCUGGGCCUUAGUUUCCAGAAGGAUCUCAGGGUACCUAAAUCUCCUGCCCACCAGGGCCUCUCCCCCAAGACAUCUGUGCAGAGAAACCCACAGCCCCUCCACUCCCGCACCCCCAGGUUAAUUGGGGUAUGAGGGCCUAUAACACCUAUAACAAGGUUUCUGUUGCUCUUGCCAACUUCAAUUAUGGGUGCAUCUGCUUUUUGAUUUUUCCAAGAUGGUUUGAUUUAAAAAAAAAAAAAUCCUCAAACUACAAAGGGACAGACUGUGCACAGUAGCUUUUUGCAGAAGGAAGCACUGGCUCAGAGGAGGUGGAAACCCCAGAAAUUAGUUCAGCUUAGGAGAUGAAAGUGGAGAAGUGGUUGCCAAGGUGAUUAUCAUUUUCUAUUUGCUUGUGGGCAGGGCCUUCAACAGGGGUACCUUAGGGUCUAGGGGGAAGUAAAACCCCUAAUGAAAGUUACAUUUCAUAACAGAGCAGGGUACUCUCUGUUGGUCCGCGUUUUAUGUGUGUGUGUGUUGGGUAGUCGGGCCAAGGAGAAAGGAUGCAAAGUUGUGAAACCCUUAAGGUUGGCUUGCCCUCAAAAACUUACCCAGUAGCUACUAGCUGAAGUGCAGUUUGCAAAGCUGCAUAGGAACAGAGCCAACGGAACAGAGCAGAGACAAUCAUUGGGACUGAGUAGUUGGAGAGUUUUCCUAGUUCCUCAGAUGGUAAAGAAUCUGCCUGCAAUGCAGGAGACUUGGGUUUAAUCCCUGGGUCGGGAAGAUCCCUUGGAGAAGGGAAUGGCUACCCACUGCAGUAUUCUUGCCUGGAGAAUUCCAAGGAGAGAGGAGACUGGUGGGUUCCACAGGACCACAGAGUCGGACAGAAGUGAGCAACUAACACACACACACAGUUUGAAAGCCCGAGGCGGGACAAAAUCCUUUCUGGCUUUCAAGGUCUCAGGGAGGCUUUCUAGAGGAGCUUGAUCUCUGGGCUGGGGGUGGGGUGGGCAGUCAUGAGCCAAGUCGGCCGGAAGGAAAUGAACGGGGUAGAGGGAGGCAGUAGUGAGAGACGACCUUAUAAGACCACAUCCAGGUGGGGCAGGACCGCAGGUUCUUCCGAGAGCUGCUAGUCCCCUUCAACCCCGCUGUUGCUUUUCAGCCUGCAGUUUCUUCCUGAUGACAUUCCCCUAAGAGCAGGAGGGUGCUUCAGAGGUCAACUUCUGGAAACAGGAAACAGUGAUUAGCAAAUCAAUUCAUUAAGGUCCGGUGAGCCAUUGGAUUACAAAGAGCAGCUAUUUGUUAACUGAAGACAGAUCUCGGCCCCUGAUGAGAGCUCUGGUUCUUGGAGAAGGCAACCAAGACAACAUAGGAAGACAGUUGCAGGCCCUGCCUAUGUGUGAAAUUCCAGCGGCCCCGCUCUGCUGAUGACAGAAAUGACCGUAAUAAACCAGGGAGGCCACAAGUCAAACAAAUAGUUUGGUUGACAAAUAGGCGUAUAAACAAGACCUUGAUUAAUGAAUUUCCUAAUAGUUCUCUGUUUAUUGACUCAGCUUGGUCAUUAGGCCUGACAUUGCCCAUGUACUUUGUACGGUACACUAUCUUCCAUUCAUUCUAAGACUCUUUUAUCACUCUUUUUGUUGGGUAUUUUCUGUCUCUCAGUUUUGUCUCCUGGGUUGGACCAUGAGCCUCGAGCUCUGAGAACUCAUUAUGUGCUUAUUGAAAGGACAGCGAAGUUAUGGAGCUCCCUAAAUUGAGAGAAGUGAGAAGGGCCUCCAACUGCAGCAUCCUAAGCCCUUUCAUUAUAACUUUUGUUGCCUUUUUCACUAAUCGCUUAAACCUGCUGUUUGGAUGCUUCCAUCGUCUGAGGUAAGGGAGAAGGGAGUCAUUCCCACGGGUUCAUCCUUCUGGUGUUACAGACCUUCAGGAGAGAGCACAGAACAAGGCAAUGGAUGGAAAGCAUCCCAUGCAAACAGCAGUCUCCUCGGGACUCAACUUGGCCAUGACUGACCGCUUCUGACAGAGCUCACCUUACUACAGUAAUCCAGGGGGACCUCAGCCACCGUGUCUGGUGUGCAGAACCCCAGCCAGGGUUGUCCUGGGAAAGUGCCAGCAUGCCUAGAGUUAAUCACCAGUCCCUAGCCAGUGCAUGCCGGGAGCCACUGGCCUUGUCAACGGCAUGGGCCCUGUGGUCCUGGGCCAACAUUCCAGCCUGGAGUGACUGUGGCUGCAGCUUGAGGUACUUGGUGAAAAGCAGAGGCAGGAGGAGUCGAAGCUGUAAAUGCCAGCUGUAUUUUUAUUGGUCGUCUGCAACUUCAAAGGUUUCCUUGCUUUAAAGGCGGCCUAAGCAGGUAUCCAGUCCGCCUUCCGUGCUCCCGGCCUUGAUGCCUUAUUGAUUUUCAAUGUGGCUUGACUCCCAGGUGGGCAGACUUCAAAACGGUCUGUAUUUUUCUGCUGUCAUGUUUCCAUCCCUGUUCGUUUCCAUCUCCAGCAAGAUGCUGGGUAUGUUGGAGGGCAGCUUUUCCUUUUUCAGCUUUCUCUCCAUAAUUUUCUUCUGGACAGGAUUUUAGACAGCCAGGGUCACUUCUGGGGUGUGUGUCUCCCAUUGUAAGUACCGAGUUAGACCAGCUGCUGGCAAGUGUGAGGGAGAAGAGGCAGUCCUUGCCCUUAAGGGCUUCACUCCCAUCAGUUCUAAGUGUGGCCGUCAGGGAAGGUGUAGCCUUGGAGGGGACGGGGCUAGUGACUCGAUAUGACCUCCCAGUUUAAUACAUGUGCAGAACUGACCGCAGGCCAAUGAGUGUUUGUGGAGCUAUAGUAUGUCCAGCCUUGAGACUAGAAGAUUCACUAAAAUGCUGACUACAGGCUAGAUGCUGGGCUUCAUGAAUACUCACUGUUAGCGUUCCUGAAAUUUCAUGUAAAUUCUCUACUGCUCUGUGAAGCAGGUUGUUCUUGGCUCCUCAUUAUAAAUGAGUCAGCUGGUUUUGCAGGGGUGUCAUAAUUUACCCAAGCUCAUUUAGCAAGCAGAUGACAGAGCAGGAUCUGACCCCGGGGCUGCUCUUGCUACCAUACCAGGCUGGGCUGCCUGUGUGCCUGUGUGUGUCACAGGGAGGAGGAAGGAACAUUGGAAAGUUUUCAUCUCACAGGCAGACACACCCAUUUGUGUGGAAUUAACAAGCAAGGCGAGACCUGAACAGAAGCCUGUGGGUAACCAGCAGCCUGAUACCUCUAACCUUGGACCCCACUGUCCAGGAUGAUGCAGUGGGUGCCUAUGCCUUCUGCAGAAGUCUUCGCUACUCAUUCAUUCAUAGCAGUGUUUUAACACACACAAUUAACUUUUCACUCACACCAGUCCCAGUGAUUCUGCAAAGCAAAUGUCCUCCAGAUGACAAUUCAGGGGUCCACCAGGGCCCUGUGUGAAACACAGCCUCCUUGAUCAACGAGGCUGAAGAAGAGAGGGAAAACCAUGCCUGGGCUUUUCCGUGGUUCAUGCUGGGAGACCCCCUUACAGCACAGGGCUCUGCCACCCUCCAGGGGCUUGAAGGGUGUAGCCUUCCUGUUGCCAGAAAGGGGAUGAAACUGGUCAUGAGUGGACACGAGUAAAGUCUACCGGGUUGUGCAUCCCAGAGGCAAGAGGAAACAGUCUCAGCUGCUCUGACUCCAUAUUUAUCAAGCACAUUUUGACUCACACUUGGAAUCGCAUGCCAUGAAUUCCAGGCCUCCUGACUAGUCCGGGGACCAGCCAGCGGACAGUUAACUCAAGCCAGCAGGUAGCAUCAGCUGAAAUUUUGACACUGAAUGAUACACUGAGCAGUGCUAUUCUCAGGAUAUGAGUGAUUUAGUGUAUUAUCUAAAAUUUAAAUGUUUUAAUAUACCUCCCAAGAAGUUACCUGGCUCAGAAAACUGCAGAGGAACCGCAGGGAUCUGGGAGGCCACUUGCAGGGAACCAACCUUCCACUACCAGAUUCCAAAGGAAUCACAGAAAAUAAAUAAAUAAAAGAAAAGCUAGCAGGAAAAGGCAUUUAAAUUGUGUUUGGAACACAAGUGUAUAAUUUUAUCCGGAAGUCACCUCAGACUUCAGGGAGUGGGAGGGGCUAACUAUCCAUUUGCAAGUGAUGAGCAAACGAGGAAGUGAGAGACUGCUCCGAAGUCAUCAGAAUGUCUGGAAUAAUUUUAUAUUGAUUUAAAGAAAAUUUCCAAGCCUUGUUUAAAUUUGUAUUCUAGUCUUAUUGGGACAUAUUUGGUAUACAGUACUGUAUAAGGUACAUCAUAAUGAUCUGACUUACAUACAUCAUGAAGUGAUCAACACAAUCAGUUUAGUGAACGUUCAUCUUCUCUUGCUGGUUGAACAUUAAAGAAACAGAAACAUGAAUUUUUUCUUUACAGUGAAAACUUUUAGGAUUUAUUCUCUUUGCAACUUUCAUACAUAAUGUACAGCAGUGUUAAUUAUAUUUAUCACGUACGUUACAUCCCUAGUGCUUAAGUAUCUUUUUUUUUUAAUUUUAUUUUAUUUUUAAACUUUACAUAACUGUAUUAGUUUUGCCAAAUAUCAAAAUGAAUCCGCCACAGGUAUACAUGUGUUCCCCAUCCUGAACCCUCCUCCCU